Colius striatus (speckled mousebird) is the source of this 5606-nucleotide long non-coding RNA. RefSeq lists it as uncharacterized. Lineage: Eukaryota; Metazoa; Chordata; Aves; Coliiformes; Coliidae. The record is from RefSeq and is a predicted model, not a curated record. The transcript has 4 exons.
CGAAGCGCUCGCUCCCCACAGCGUCCGCGCUUCUCGGCCGCGUCCGUGCGGCGACGCCUCCGCUGCUCGCGGCUUCACGCCGUGCCGCGCCGCGCCGCGCCGCGCCGCGCCGCCGCCGCCCCUGCGGAAGAGCCGCUCUGCCCAGAGCGUUCCCUCAGCCCCGCCCUGCGCCGGCUCUUUGGGGCGUUCUUGGCGCUUCACGCGCCGCUUGUUUUUUAAAUGUCUCCGAGGAGUCUCUGGACGCGCGGGAUGGUGACGGCGCUCGCGUGUCUGAGGGGCGUCUCGGUGGGGCCGUGGUUAUGGAUACCUGAAACAGCAUGCUCCUAGAACUCCAUCGGGAAAUCUGAGCUGGCCUAAAGGUAACGGUCAAGUGGCAAAGGCCGGUACUGCUACAGAUGGCGAUAAAAAGAAAUACAGAACGCCAGCCUCUGGGGAUGCAGGUGCUGCUGAGAAACCCGGGUGGAACUGAAUGUUCUUGGAAUCCCCUGAAGAAUACAGAAAUUGUUAUCUAUUUUUACUCUGCAAUCACAUCUUCAACUGGUUUCAGAAUACAGAAAGUGAUUUUUGAGCACCUGAUUGCCACACAGAACAUUGAUAGCUAGAAUCAGAUGGCAAGCUAGUGAGACGUUCUGGCAAGCACCACAGUCCUGGAUCUGGGAUUGAAUCUCUGCUGUCCUGCAUGCACUCUCAAUGAAAAAGGAAUUCCAAGGAACACAAAUGGAACUUAAAAAUCUAGUCACUGAAACAGUGAUGUUAACCAUUCCUUAGAUACAUAGCCCUGAAAGUUACCAGUGUUCAAGGGGCUGAAAAUUUCAUCAUAGCACUGACAGUAAGGAUCAAAAAGGAUCAGACCUACAAAAAUCACCUGUAUGAAUGUAUCCUUUGAAACUUCUGCUUGUUCUUGAAAGCAAAUCUCUGCAGAAUUGAACAGGCUGUGAAGUAUGGUGGAAGCUGCUUAUUCAGGGCCUGCUCUUUACGUCUAUGUACUGUACUCAUGGACCUUACAGGCUGAGCAAAGGCAUCAGCUGAAGGCCCCAGCAUUAAAGGCCUUAUUUGCAUAUGGCUGUGCUGUGCACGUGGCAAGACUGCAGGCCGACUGUCAUCUUCAGGCACGACACUGAGAGGCUGAAACACCCAGGCCGCCACAGCGCCACAGCACGUGCUGCAGGCACAUCCCCAAAGCCUUUCUGAAGUGUCAGCGGUUUGUCUCAGUUUGGAGCUGGAAGGUGGCUGGUGCUUGGCCCUCUGCUGAGACACUGGCUCCAUGGACCUGAAGCAGGGUUAGCUCUGUCAAGACAAGAUCCCCAUGCCCAGCAAGGGCUGUGGCUGUUGGCUGCUUUGUGCACAGGGCAUGGAUGCUAAGGCCUUAACGGCUGGAACUACUGCACCUUCCAGAUCAAAACUGCUCUUCUCUGAGCUCCUAGAUGAAGGCAGCAGUAGCUGGAUGGAGCAGUCUCUCUGCAGAGAGUUCUUAAUCAUCUGAGCCAGAAAAUCACAGAAGGCCUCUGAGUGCAGCUGGAAUGGCUGCUUCACCUUUGCAUGCUGCUGACGUUCAAAGGGAUUAUUUCUUCUUGGGCUCACAUUUCCUUGGGUUUAGAUCCCAAUCUGUUCACUGCAUCUUCUUAUGAGUGUUAGGAUUAUGAAUUCUUAUGUUUUUCAGACUGCCAUGACCAAUGGUUAGGAAAAGGCUGCCCCCACAGGAGUUGAUGCCAAAAUUGCCUCAGUAGCUUCAGAACACAGAACUUUCUUAGAGUAAAAAACAGUUUUAGCAUCAGACUUUGUGGUAUGUGGCUCUGAGCCAUUUGAGAUUGUAUCCUUAGCUUCUUUAAGAAUUCUGGCUUUCGAAAUAUUAGCCUAAGUAGUUCUGAGUAAUAUUUCGGGAAAGUAUUAUAUUGGCUUUACCUAGUCUAAGUUGAGCAUUAGUAACAAAACUCCAGUUAAAUACCCAAUGAAAACAAAGCCAUUCUCAAAAGACUGUAGCUGUUUAAAAACAACAUCCACUUUGGCUAUAGUAAAGGUUCCCUUAUUUCAAAAGGAAAGGAUUAAAGAGAUUAUUUUUUUUAACAAACCAAACUAAACAUAGUUUGACAAUGAAGAAAAACUGUUUAGCUGUGAUCUCUUCUGAACAGUAAGCUUCAUUCAGUGCAACAAAAUGGGAGCAUGCAGCUGCCUAUUAAGGACUCCAAGGUUUACAUCCUGGGUUUCUCAGUGUUGUGACAAAAGGUGAAUUGGUCCCAGUACCUGCUACUUGAGCAAGAGCCCCAGACUACAAGCACACUGCUGUUUUUAACACUGAAUCCAGCAGCAUGACUUAUGCUUUCCAAAGAUAAGAUGAGAACAUGGAGCUGAGACAAAAAUAUGGAUGAGGAUGUGUCUAUCUUGUCUUGUAUCUCAAGAACAGGAAGAUUUUCACUGUAUCUGAACAUACACAUGGAUAUGGAGCUCAGUGACAUGGGAAGCUCUUCUUAUCCAGAUUUUAACAAGAUACUUUGUGAAAGACAUUCCUAUAAAUAGUGGGUAGCAUGUGAUUUAAUGUGGAUUGAGAAAGAUAUGAUGACUUCUCCAUCUCUUAAUGCAGAGCUUCUGUACUUCCUUCAAAACAAGUACUGCUGACCACUGGGAUAUAUGGAGACAAGACCCAGGGUAAUAACUUCUGAGAUUUUACUGUACUAAAAGAGACUCUGACAGUGUGCCUGAGCCUUUUUUUAAGCAAGAAUAUAUCCAAUUACAUUAGUCUGUAGCUUUUGCUUGUGUUUGCCAUAACUAUUAAGGUGGCAUUACAGUGCAUUUGCUAUAUGUUUAACUUUCAUACGUUGCUUACUCAAGGAAGUGUUAACUUCUUGGAAACCAAUAGAUGUGUGGUGCAUGUGUGUGCAGGUCUCUGUAUGUAUGUGACUGCACUCACAUGUACAUAAAGUGAGUAGCACAUGGAGACCUGCUGUCUCAUUUCACCUCAUUUUAGUAUCACAUAAGAGGACACAGGUACAUAGGUGCCUAUCUCCAGCUUAUGUAGACUGAUAGGAGAGUUCUUAAGUUUUCAUCUCUGCUUAUAAAUGAAAUUGGUCAAAUCACUGUGGUUUAAGAUAGAAAAACACGACAAAAGCUGCUCAGCUGAAUGAUUUUUGGCACAAUAUGAAGAAAAAAAUAGAUUCUGGUUUCUCUUUCAAAUAAGUGCUGUGCUCUGCAGAGCAAAGAUCAAGCCAAAGUUCACGUUAUCAGCUCCCGUACCUCACCUGGGGCUCUGUUAUUGAUAGGUCUGUCAUCUUCUCUAAUAUUGGAGGGGUAAUAGCAGCCGAUGAUUAGGCCACUCUCAAGCUAUUAACUACAUUUCUUAUCCCUUUUAUAAGAGCUUCUUAGUCAGCUGGGAAACAAAGGCUGCCUUCAGCGAACAAGAGCCCAGAUUGUGGGCCUGCAUCCUGCAACCUGAAAGACACAACUGUUGCACUUAGAGGAGCCUCCAAAGGCAGAGAGGGGGUAGAUGUCAAAGGUUACCCCGUGGUGUUAUCUGAAAUGAGCGGGCUCUGACUGCCUCUUGUGCUGACAGAAGCUAGCAGAGAAAUUACAGAAAAUUGCCUAUUUUGUCAACAUUUUCUCGGGAGGUUUAGGAAAAAAAAAGGACUCUGGUUUCAGAGAGUUAAAGGGGCUCAGUCAGCCUAGAAGUGACUGACAAACACUCUAUUAUUCAUCUAUGUGAAAAAGUGGUAUUUUAUAUCAUUUCUUUGAGUGAUUGUUAAGUGACUGGGUAGUGACGUUGACAAGUAAGAUAAUCCCAGUAAUAUUUCCAGUUCUUGUUUGAAGGAAGACUUGCACAUUUGUCAGUGUUGACAAUAGGUAUACAAAAAGCAGCGGUGGUGAAGAGCCAGCUCCCAGUAUAAACUCAAAACACUGGGAGGGAUCUGCACACUCAGAUCUUAGCACGGAGUGGAUUGGAAAUGGGCUAUACAGUAGUGGAAAAAACAAGCGUGCAGCCUCUUAACCAAUCAUUUCACCUUGGGUAAAACUACUCAUAUGACCAAGAUGACUUCUGCCACAUUGCAGAAACUUUUGAGAUUUAUUUUUGGGAAGAAAGGUGUGUUUAUGAGAGUAAAAUUCUAGCUAAUCUGCCUUAUCAUAAGUAGUCAUGUUACAAUUUAUAACUUAUGCCUGGCAUUCUACUGAAAUGGCCCUGUCAUGCCUUCCAGCAUAUAUUCAGCACUCAGGGUAGCUGUUGACAUAUACAAAUGAAUAUCUAUCAUAUUGCAGACAUUGCUAGGUAGUGCCUCAGCCCUGUUCCUGUGACAGAGGCUUGGAGCUGAGAUGCUUCCCUUCAACCUUUUGCAUUACAAGGAGCAGAUGUUAGAGGUGACUUUAUGAGGCCCAUGAAGGCUAUUUACACCUUAGCUGAAUUGAUAUCUCUUAGCUACAGCUCAUAAAACCAUCAAUAACUUGUUGGAUUUGUAGUGUCACUGGUGGUCAGUAGACGUUGUCAGAUUGCCAGAGAAAAUGUUACAGAGCAACUGAACUAAAAAGACAAUUUAGAAGAAAUACACAUGAACUUCCUAAGGGACACUAUCUGUGAUCAAGUAUGAAUUUUAUAAUAAAUGUGGCUCUGAAAUAUUGUAUUGAAGUACUUUUUAAGAAAAUACAACUUUACUUUGGUGAUAAAGUGCUUUUGGCAUUGUUGCUGCUGGUGCUAGAAGGCUUGCAGUGAUGAAAGUAGAUGCAAAAGCACAACAGAUAUUGUUUAGACCAGGAUUGGACUCUUGGAGUACUCAGCAGGUGCUAGUGGCAUUUGAGUAAGUCUGCAGAGUCAGCACAAAGUAAAAUCUCAGGAAGUGCAGACAGUAAGGAUGUAGGAUGCUUGGGUGCUCUCAGACUUACAGAGGUGUUAGAACAUAUUUUGGGUGCUGGCAAGGGGAACAGAUGGUUUGGGAGAACAAUUUAUGUAGAGAAAGUGGAGCCCUUGGCCAAAUAAAAGUGGUAAAUAAAAGUAAGGUGAACAAGCUAAACCCUGUUAUAAUUGCAUUACACAGAUCCAAGCUCUAGGGCUCCUCAUUCUUAAAAUGGUACCAUACAAUUAUCAGCGAGUCCGGAGGUAGGCAACAAAAAGGGUUCAAUUUUACUAUAAAUAACUUGGUUUUGUUGAGAGAAGAGGUGAAAAACAGAGAAUGUAAUAAUGAGAAGUCAAAAAAGUCCACAGAAAAUCAUGAUCCCACAGUUAUCCUUUCUCAUAAGAUAAGAACAGCUACUGAGGACAGAAAAGGCUUUUCUCUGUGGUCAUCCCAUGAAAUUCGUGGGGUGCUUAGCAGAUACUUACUAGAUAACAGCCAGGGUUUCUUUCAUAUCUUUUUACUAGGACAAGGACUAAGCAGUAUGUCUAGAAAGAAACUGGUGCUGCAAAGGAAAGUCAGAUGAGAUAGAGAGUGUCUGACUGCCAGGAUCAUGUGGAAGAGGUUUUUCCUCACCUUGCUACUCAUCAACAAUUUUAAUUUCUCUCUUCUGUUGUCCUCAUAUGUGGCUACUUGAAGAAGGCCUGUGUACCCAGAAGCUUGUCUGACCCUGUUGUAUCAGCUGAUACAACAUAAAAUAUAAUCUUGCUGUGUAAAUCUUGUCUUUGCUUUCACUCU